RNAcentral lists this ribosomal RNA (460 nucleotides) under uncultured bacterium. RNAcentral describes it as "partial 16S ribosomal RNA". It matches the Rfam family "Bacterial small subunit ribosomal RNA", at positions 338 to 795 of the family's 1533-position model. The record is from RNAcentral.
CCUACGGGAGGCAGCAGUGAGGAAUAUUGGUCAAUGGACGCAAGUCUGAACCAGCCAUGCCGCGUGCAGGAAGACUGCUCUACGAGUUGUAAACUGCUUUUGUACGAGGGUAAACGCAGAUACGCGUAUCUGUCUGAAAGUAUCGUACGAAUAAGGAUCGGCUAACUCCGUGCCAGCAGCCGCGGUAAUACGGAGGAUUCAAGCGUUAUCCGGAUUUAUUGGGUUUAAAGGGUGCGUAGGCGGUCGGAUAAGUUAGAGGUGAAAGCCCGAGGCUCAACCUCGGAAUUGCCUUUGAUACUGUUCGGCUAGAGAGUAGUUGCGGUAGGCGGAAUGUGUGGUGUAGCGGUGAAAUGCUUAGAGAUCAUACAGAACACCGAUUGCGAAGGCAGCUUACCAAGCUACUUCUGACGUUGAGGCACGAAAGUGUGGGGAGCAAACAGGAUUAGAUACCCCAGUAGUC